RNAcentral lists this ribosomal RNA (496 nucleotides) under uncultured bacterium. RNAcentral describes it as "partial 16S ribosomal RNA". It matches the Rfam family "Bacterial small subunit ribosomal RNA", at positions 29 to 507 of the family's 1533-position model. The record is from RNAcentral.
AUGAACGCUGGCGGCGUGCCUAAUACCUGCAAGUCGAGCGAACAGAUGAGGAGCUUGCUCCUCUGACGUUAGCGGCGGACGGGUGAGUAACACGUGGAUAACCUACCUAUAAGACUGGGAUAACUUCGGGAAACCGGAGCUAAUACCGGAUAAUAUAUUGAACCGCAUGGUUCAAUAGUGAAAGACGGUUUUGCUGUCACUUAUAGAUGGAUCCGCGCCGCAUUAGCUAGUUGGUAAGGUAACGGCUUACCAAGGCAACGAUGCGUAGCCGACCUGAGAGGGUGAUCGGCCACACUGGAACUGAGACACGGUCCAGACUCCUACGGGAGGCAGCAGUAGGGAAUCUUCCGCAAUGGGCGAAAGCCUGACGGAGCAACGCCGCGUGAGUGAUGAAGGUCCUCGGAUCGUAAAACUCUGUUAUUAGGGAAGAACAAAUGUGUAAGUAACUAUGCACGUCUUGACGGUACCUAAUCAGAAAGCCACGGCUAACUACGUG